RNAcentral lists this ribosomal RNA (119 nucleotides) under Pteropus alecto (black flying fox). The record is from RNAcentral. Lineage: Eukaryota; Metazoa; Chordata; Mammalia; Chiroptera; Pteropodidae.
GUCUAUGACCAUGCCACACUGAACGUGCUUGAUCUUGUCUGAUCUUGGAAGCUAAGCAGGGUCGGGCCUGGUUAAUACUUGGAUGGGAGACCAUCUAGGAAUACCAGGUGCUGUAGGCG